Molecule: long non-coding RNA, 2543 nt
Filed under: Homo sapiens (human)
Lineage: Eukaryota; Metazoa; Chordata; Mammalia; Primates; Hominidae
Description: HSALNT0314491
Source: RNAcentral
GAGGGAAGAGCUGGGAGGUGGGAAGUGGGGGAGGGGCCCCAGACCAGGCUCAGAGCAUAUCCUUGCUCCUGGCCUCCACCGCAGAAGGUGGCUCACCCCUCUGCAUGGAACAGUCUCUCUCCAUUCCCUCUACCCUGGCCUUCCUCCUCCUUGCAGGCCCCAGAAGCUGGAGGGGGCUGGUCGGGGUUGGGCUCACAGACACAGUGGUGGAGCUCACAGAAGUGCCCCCACCCACCAGGAGCCCAGGGUGGGCCUCAGCCAGCCGGGGGUAAUGAGGCAUGGGAUGGACUCUGCGGGCACCAGGCCUGACCCUGAGUGCACCCAGGCGAGGGCGGGGGACACUCAGAUCUGCCCCUCUCUGCAGGAACCUGGUUUCCCCACCCUGGAGGCCAGCGCCAAAGGACGUUCACGUGCAGCUCAACCACACAAUAUAAGAGCUACUGUCUCCAAUUAACACUUGGGGACACUGAGGCAAAGAGCCUGGCUGAAUAUUGUGCCCGUGAAGACAGAGGGACAGCCUAUUUUGUUUGCUGCUGUAUCCUUAGCACCCAGCACAGGGAAGGGGUCCUGGUACAUUUCUAGAAAAAAUGGAGGGGAGCAGAGUCCCCCUGAGCACCUGGGGUUUGAUGCCUCCCUGCCCAGAGCCCUUGCUAUAGCAUAUGCUGGUGAGGGCCGAGGCUCUAGCUCACACUCCAGACCGGGGUAGGGAUCCAAUCUGGCUUUGAAGACAUCAUGCAGAGCCUCUGCUCUGGAGAUGGGAACCUGCAGACAAAUGCCUCCUUAUCUCAAUCCUCUGAAAACAGUUUGACCAGGGAGACAGCGUUCACUCAUGAAUUUAAGAAAAAAAAAAUCCCUGAUCCCUACUUUUUGCCAACUUCAAUGCUGAUUUCUAGUGGUACCAAGAAAAAUGCAACUGAGCCUCCAUCCUCAAGGGGCUCACAGUCUUGUGUGGAGAUAAAAAAUGCAGGCCUGCUGCAGAUCCAAGUCCUGUGACCGGGGUCCUGCCCAAGGGUCCUGCUUCCCUAGGCAUCCCAGAAGUUCAGCCUGCAUCUCGACCAGAGCCUGAGAGUAGACACCUGCCGGUUUAUCUGUCCCUUCAUGUAGCAGGUGACAGAGGUGCCAGGGGCAUGGCAGGGGUACUCUGACACAGCACUGCCCCACGGAGCCCAUGUCCCAGGGCAGAAGACCCACGAUGCACAGCCAGCCAGGUGGCCUCAUCCGAUCAGUCAAAGGCCUCAAUAGAACCAAGACUGACCUCUGCCAAAGAGAGAAUUCUUUCAGCAGACGGCCUUCGGACUUGAGCUAUGACGGCAACUCUUCCCCGGGCCCACCUGACGGACUGGGUUUCUCAGCCUCCACAGUCGGCAGUCAGGGAAAGCCUCCUGGAGACUUGGGCAAGAGACCCAAAGGAAGUGAAGGGGCGGGCAAGAUGGGAGAAGAGCAUCUGGAACAGCAUGUGCAGAGACCCAGGGCCAGGGCUGUCACUGGCAUGUUCCGGGGCUGGUAAGGAGCUGGGUGUGGUGGAAGCGGACUGUGCACCAGGAGAGGGGACCAUGAGGCAGAGAGGUCCCCGGCACUCCGUGCAGGCCUCUAGGCCAUUGUUGGACUGUUUCCUCUGAGCAGGUCAUGGAGUGCGUGGAACAGAGGAGGGAGGGACGGGACCUGACUUUGGGUUUAGGAGGGGGGUCCCUCUGGCUGCUAUGGGGCAGGAGCAGAAGCAGCAAGGCCAGCAAGGAGGCUGCGGCAACAGCUCAGGAGUGGUGGGGCGGGUGGCCCACACCACGGUGGGAACAGAGCCGGAGCGGGAGGUCAGAUUCUGGGUGUAUUUUGGAGGUGGAGGUGGCAGGGUUUCCUCACAGGCCGGAUGUGAGGCGUGAGGGAAAGAGAAGAGACGGGGCAGAAUGUGCUCAUUCACUCAUUUGUUCAUUCAUCCUACAUUCACUUUGUCUUUUUGACUAGGUGGGCAGGGAGUGUGGCAGCAUUGAUGAGAGUAGCUUUGUGGUAACACUCCUCUUAAACAUCAAAUACGCAGCCUCAGCCACACAACCAAGGAGGAAGCCGCUCUUCCAAGAGUCUCCCAUCCUUCUGUCCCUCCUCCUCCAGCCUGAACCCCUGCCCAGAGCACAGGGACAGCAGGGCUCCAGAGCUUCUGACCUGCCUGGGGUGGGGGCAGGCCAGGGAAGGGUUGUGGACCAUGGCCACCUGUGAACCCAGUCCUGGAGGGAUGCUGGGCAAAGAUGAGGCACAGGGCGAAGGUCGGAGGCAGCGGCAUGCUGGCCCUUGUGCAGCGGGGCAAGGUCUGGGGCACCGAGCGGCCUCACGCACCUGGCUGGAGGCUCAACUGUCCUGAGGCCGGGCAGCCACUGCAGGAUUGUAAGCGGGAGCAAUUUUGUUUAAGACAUCGCCCUCUGGUGGCCAUGUGCAAGGUGGCCUGGAGAGACAGCCCUGGGAGGGCUGUGGCCCCAGCUAAGGCAGGAGGAGGGCUCAAUCAGCCAUCUGUCACCUCACCACAAAGAGGACAGAAGGCCCUGUGCCCCCUCCCA